UACGUAGGAGGCAAGCGUUAUCCGGAAUUAUUGGGCGUAAAGCGUCCGCAGGUGGCUAUUCAAGUCUGCGGUCAAAGACUGGGGCUUAACUUCGGAAAGGCAGUGGAAACUGAACAGCUAGAGUAUGGUAGGGGCAGAGGGAAUUCCUGGUGUAGCGGUGAAAUGCGUAGAGAUCAGGAAGAACAUCGGUGGCGAAGGCGCUCUGCUGGACCAUAACUGACACUCAGGGACGAAAGCUAGGGGAGCGAAUGGG
RNAcentral lists this ribosomal RNA (253 nucleotides) under uncultured bacterium. RNAcentral's name for it is "partial 16S ribosomal RNA". It matches the Rfam family "Bacterial small subunit ribosomal RNA", at positions 524 to 776 of the family's 1533-position model. The record is from RNAcentral.